GGCCAACUUAUAAAUUGACCUAAUCAUCAUUCAACAUUCCCAUAUAAAAAUUACAGGAUAUUAUCCAUAUACAUAAAAAAUAAUAUUUUCUCUUUUAUAUCACAUUGUGAGAAUAAAUAUUUUUUAUUAUAUAAUAAAUAAAUAAUACACCUAAUAAUUCCUCAACAAUUCUUUCCAAUAAAAUGAAGAUGAGUUUGGUCUUCUUUUUUU
This 210-nucleotide unclassified non-coding RNA is filed under the name Hevea brasiliensis (rubber tree). Lineage: Eukaryota; Viridiplantae; Streptophyta; Magnoliopsida; Malpighiales; Euphorbiaceae. The record is from RNAcentral.